UAAAGGGGAAUAAAAAUCCCCAACUCCUUCUUCUAUCUCCGGUUCCAGCUCUUAUCUCCCCAAAUUUUCGGUUUCGGCUUUCUUCUCUGAGUUCCAACCAUCCAAGAACUCCUCUUCUUCAAGAGUUCUGAAAAGAUCAAACCUUCCUCAAGCCCUUUAAAUUCCUCUCUCCUCCCUCUCUUUUUUUUUUCUUCUUCAGUUCGGGUUCAAGUAAAAGGAGAAGAUUCAAGGCUAGGGUUUUAGCCAAUCAUCGAGCUAGGGCAUUUGGGGGUUCUUGCUUCGACGGGUCCCUUCUCCUCUUGAUUCUUCUUCGAAUUCAGAUUAGCCAUGUCGACGCUUUGGACCGGCUGGAGCGCGAAUUCUGACGGUUACAAGAGUUGAAGACUGCUGGUAGCUCAACAUACAUAGCCAUUUGGAUGGAAUCUCAUCUACAAGCAUGGCACGACACUCGGGCUUCUGCUGGACUUGAGAUUCAAACGCAACAAAGUCGGGUGGAUCAAAUGGAGGCCUUGGCUAUCUUGGGGAUGGUGAAGGAUGACUUGGAGCGUUCACAAGUUGUGAUAUCCAGAAAAUUUGAGCUCUCGAAACAGAAGUUAGCCAAGAUCAAACAAGAGGCUGCGAAAACAUUAUCCCUCACCGAGGAAUCCUUCAAGGUUGCAUUGCAGUGUGAGCUUGAGCGAACUUAUACAGAGGAAUUGACUAAACUUGAACAGCAAGCCUGUAGUCACAAACUUCAUGUAGAUUGUUUGUAACUCUUGUACCUGCAAACUCAAUUUUAUUAAUAGAAAAUAUGUCCUUUUCAUUCA
This is a long non-coding RNA of Asparagus officinalis (garden asparagus), 806 nucleotides long. RefSeq lists it as uncharacterized. The transcript has 2 exons. The record is from RefSeq and is a predicted model, not a curated record. NCBI's taxonomy places the organism in Eukaryota, Viridiplantae, Streptophyta, Magnoliopsida, Asparagales, Asparagaceae.